CAAAGGGGCAGGAAAGAGGAGGGGAGGGGGAAAGGAGCGCGGCCGGGUCUGCGCCUGCGCGCGAGGACGGCGCCGCUUCUUAGAGAGACGGUGCCGCGCCUCAGCUGCGCCUGCAGGGGGCGUCAGGGUUGGUCUGUCUUCCUGGGGAAGAGUAGGGGCUGCUGUAGGAAGCCCCCCCGCAGGAUGGCUACAGCUCUGCAUACCCAUGGAGUAAGGCACAAGCAUCAAAUGUGAGAAGGCAGCCUGACGACAUGGCCUUGGAGGACGAGAGAAAGGCCAAAGCAGCCUUUUCUCCUACCAUCCAUGGCCACCUGCUUCCUUUCCCUCUUGAUGCAAGAAAGCACUGAAGUCUCAUGGGACCACCUAGGAAAGAGAACCUUGGGAUAGUAACGUUUUAUCAUCGGAAGAGCAGUUUUGCCGCUCUGAACAGAUCUAACUCUAGAUGUCUUGGCUAUCUCCUGUUUGCAAGCUGCUAAGCACUGCAAACAUUCCCAAAAUCAGGUCUGGCCUUAUCAGUUGCUUAGUGCAGCAUAUGUUGGAGAGGAUAUCCUUUCUUUAGUAUAUUUGUGUACCACCCCAAACUUACAUCUCUGAGCAGUUUGCAACAAAUGUAAAAUAACAUUAAAACAAAUCCACAGUUCCACAAAUCUAGUUAAAAGCUUGGAUGAAUACUUCAGUCCAGGGAAUGUGUUCUUUCAAUUGGACCGGUGUUUUUCUUUCCAUUGCAAAACUGUCUUAAGGCAAGCACCAUUCAUUGUGUCUUUGAUCUGGGUGGCAUUUGCAUUUUGAAUCAUGGUGAUUCUCUUUAUUUAGCAGGGGGAGAGUAACUGGCCCUCUCCACCCCAGUACAGUACCUCCAGUGACUGUUGCUGGUGUCUAUCUUGUGGUUUUUUUUAGAAUGUGAGCUCUUUGAGGACAGGGAGCCAUCUUAUUAAUUAUUAUUUCUCUGUGUAAACCACCCUGAGCCAUUUUUGGAAGGGCGGUAUAGAAAUUGAAUUAAUAAUAAUAAUUAAUAUGUGCCAUGCUUAAAAAUAAAUAUAUUCAGUAUAAGGAAAGUUAAAAUGCUGCUUUAGCAUUGCCAGGCAUAUUAAAGAGGCAGACAUGGUCAGAUUUAAAACAAGCCAUAACUUUAUGUGUCAAGCACAAAAUAAAGUUUUAAUAAAUAAAUAUUUUAAAUAAUAGACUUUUAACGUAUUUACUUAAUUUGGUUAAUUUUCUUACUUUUAUUAUAUAUUGUAUCUAUUUUAUUGUUAUGAGCUGCCCCGAGCAGCAGUGUACUGGAGGGGCAGGGUAUAAACAUUUUAAAUAAAUAAAUAAGUUGUGACUUGUUUUAAAUGUGAUGCAAGAAUACAUUUACUAUUGUUCUGUGCUUCAUUACAUAACAAGAGUGACGUCUGCUUAUACUUUUCUUAUUGUAUGGAGAAUGUCAAUGUACUGCAUUGUAUCCUGGCUAUGUUCUGGUUGUGUUCUUUUUAAAGAAGAUUUUAAUAAAUACAUAUUACUGUGAUAACA
Long non-coding RNA from Hemicordylus capensis (graceful crag lizard), 1512 nucleotides. RefSeq lists it as uncharacterized. The record is from RefSeq and is a predicted model, not a curated record. The transcript has 2 exons. Lineage: Eukaryota; Metazoa; Chordata; Lepidosauria; Squamata; Cordylidae.